AAUAGAGAAAUAACGCUGAUGAUUGUGGAUAACUCUGUGCGUAAAAAGGUAUAAAGCGGGGUUUUGCUGGGGAAUGCAGCAGUCAGUCAUUUUUCUGCAAUUUUUCUAUUGCGGCCUGCGGAGAACUCCCUAUAAUGCGCCUCCAUCGACACGGCGGAUGUGAAUCACUUCACACAAACAGCCGGUUCGGUUGAAGAGAAAAAUUCUGAAAUUCAGGGUUGACUCUGAAAGAGGAAAGCGUAAUAUACGCCACCUCGCGACAGUGAGCUGAAAGCCGCGUCGCAACUGCUCUUUAACAAUUUAUCAGACAAUCUGUGUGGGCACUCGAAGAUACGGAUUCUUAACGUCGCAAGACGAAAAAUGAAUACCAAGUCUCAAGAGUGAACACGUAAUUCAUUACGAAGUUUAAUUCUUUGAGCAUCAAACUUUUAAAUUGAAGAGUUUGAUCAUGGCUCAGAUUGAACGCUGGCGGCAGGCCUAACACAUGCAAGUCGAACGGUAACAGGAAGAAGCUUGCUUCUUUGCUGACGAGUGGCGGACGGGUGAGUAAUGUCUGGGAAACUGCCUGAUGGAGGGGGAUAACUACUGGAAACGGUAGCUAAUACCGCAUAACGUCGCAAGACCAAAGAGGGGGACCUUCGGGCCUCUUGCCAUCGGAUGUGCCCAGAUGGGAUUAGCUAGUAGGUGGGGUAACGGCUCACCUAGGCGACGAUCCCUAGCUGGUCUGAGAGGAUGACCAGCCACACUGGAACUGAGACACGGUCCAGACUCCUACGGGAGGCAGCAGUGGGGAAUAUUGCACAAUGGGCGCAAGCCUGAUGCAGCCAUGCCGCGUGUAUGAAGAAGGCCUUCGGGUUGUAAAGUACUUUCAGCGGGGAGGAAGGGAGUAAAGUUAAUACCUUUGCUCAUUGACGUUACCCGCAGAAGAAGCACCGGCUAACUCCGUGCCAGCAGCCGCGGUAAUACGGAGGGUGCAAGCGUUAAUCGGAAUUACUGGGCGUAAAGCGCACGCAGGCGGUUUGUUAAGUCAGAUGUGAAAUCCCCGGGCUCAACCUGGGAACUGCAUCUGAUACUGGCAAGCUUGAGUCUCGUAGAGGGGGGUAGAAUUCCAGGUGUAGCGGUGAAAUGCGUAGAGAUCUGGAGGAAUACCGGUGGCGAAGGCGGCCCCCUGGACGAAGACUGACGCUCAGGUGCGAAAGCGUGGGGAGCAAACAGGAUUAGAUACCCUGGUAGUCCACGCCGUAAACGAUGUCGACUUGGAGGUUGUGCCCUUGAGGCGUGGCUUCCGGAGCUAACGCGUUAAGUCGACCGCCUGGGGAGUACGGCCGCAAGGUUAAAACUCAAAUGAAUUGACGGGGGCCCGCACAAGCGGUGGAGCAUGUGGUUUAAUUCGAUGCAACGCGAAGAACCUUACCUGGUCUU
RNAcentral lists this ribosomal RNA (1422 nucleotides) under Escherichia coli 2886-75. Its description in RNAcentral is "partial 23S ribosomal RNA". The stretch from base 431 to 1422 matches the Rfam family "Bacterial small subunit ribosomal RNA", at positions 1 to 982 of the family's 1533-position model. Lineage: Bacteria; Pseudomonadati; Pseudomonadota; Gammaproteobacteria; Enterobacterales; Enterobacteriaceae. The record is from RNAcentral.